GUGCUCAUUUCGGCAGCACAUAUACUAAAAUUGGAACGAUACAUAAAUUAGCAUGGCCCCUGCGCAAGAAUGACACCCAAAUUUGUGAAAUGUUCCACAUUUUU
Molecule: small nuclear RNA, 104 nt
Organism: Molossus molossus (Pallas's mastiff bat)
Lineage: Eukaryota; Metazoa; Chordata; Mammalia; Chiroptera; Molossidae
Source: RefSeq, a predicted model, not a curated record